GCCGCGAAUUCGCCCUUAGAGUUUGAUUAUGGCUCAGAUUGAACGCUGGCGGCAGGCCUAACACAUGCAAGUCGAGCGGUAGCACAGGAGAGCUUGCUCUCCGGGUGACGAGCGGCGGACGGGUGAGUAAUGUCUGGGAAACUGCCCGAUGGAGGGGGAUAACCACUGGAAACGGUGGCUAAUACCGCAUAACGUCUACGGACCAAAGAGGGGGACCUUCGGGCCUCUUGCCAUCGGAUGUGCCCAGAUGGGAUUAGCUAGUAGGUGGGGUAACGGCUCACCUAGGCGACGAUCCCUAGCUGGUCUGAGAGGAUGACCAGCCACACUGGAACUGAGACACGGUCCAGACUCCUACGGGAGGCAGCAGUGGGGAAUAUUGCACAAUGGGCGCAAGCCUGAUGCAGCCAUGCCGCGUGUGUGAAGAAGGCCUUCGGGUUGUAAAGCACUUUCAGCGAGGAGGAAGGCCAAUAGCUUAAUACGCUGUUGGAUUGACGUUACUCGCAGAAGAAGCACCGGCUAACUCCGUGCCAGCAGCCGCGGUAAUACGGAGGGUGCAAGCGUUAAUCGGAAUUACUGGGCGUAAAGCGCACGCAGGCGGUUUGUUAAGUCAGAUGUGAAAUCCCCGCGCUUAACGUGGGAACUGCAUUUGAAACUGGCAAGCUAGAGUCUCGUAGAGGGGGGUAGAAUUCCAGGUGUAGCGGUGAAAUGCGUAGAGAUCUGGAGGAAUACCGGUGGCGA
Molecule: ribosomal RNA, 738 nt
Filed under: uncultured bacterium
Lineage: Bacteria
Description: partial 16S ribosomal RNA
Rfam family: Bacterial small subunit ribosomal RNA
Source: RNAcentral